GACGAACGCUGGCGGCGUGCUUAACACAUGCAAGUCGUACGGUAAGGCCCUUUCGGGGGUCCACGAGUGGCGAACGGGUGAGUAACACGUGAGUAACCUGCCCACAACUUUGGGAUAACGCUAGGAAACUGGUGCUAAUACUGGAUAUGUGCUCCUGCUGCAUGGUGGGGGUUGGAAAGCUCCGGCGGUUGUGGAUGGACUCGCGGCCUAUCCGCUUGUUGGUGGGGUAGUGGCCUACCAAGGCGGCGACGGGUAGCCGGCCUGAGAGGGUGACCGGCCACAUUGGGACUGAGAUACGGCCCAGACUCCUACGGGAGGCAGCAGUGGGGAAUAUUGCACAAUGGGCGCAAGCCUGAUGCAGCAACGCCGCGUGCGGGAUGACGGCCUUCGGGUUGUAAACCGCUUUCAGCAGGGACGAAGCUUUUUGUGACGGUACCUGCAGAAGAAGCACCGGCUAACUACGUG
This 465-nucleotide ribosomal RNA is filed under the name uncultured bacterium. Its description in RNAcentral is "partial 16S ribosomal RNA". It matches the Rfam family "Bacterial small subunit ribosomal RNA", at positions 28 to 507 of the family's 1533-position model. The record is from RNAcentral.